RNAcentral lists this ribosomal RNA (496 nucleotides) under uncultured bacterium. RNAcentral describes it as "partial 16S ribosomal RNA". It matches the Rfam family "Bacterial small subunit ribosomal RNA", at positions 28 to 506 of the family's 1533-position model. The record is from RNAcentral.
GACGAACGCUGGCGGCGUGCCUAAUACAUGCAAGUAGAACGCUGAAGAGAGGAGCUUACUCUUCUUGGAUGAGUUGCGAACGGGUGAGUAACGCGUAGGUAACCUGCCUUGUAGCGGGGGAUAACUAUUGGAAACGAUAGCUAAUACCGCAUAACAAUGGAUGACACAUGUCAUUUAUUUGAAAGGGGCAAUUGCUCCACUACAAGAUGGACCUGCGUUGUAUUAGCUAGUAGGUGAGGUAAUGGCUCACCUGGGCGACGAUACAUAGCCGACCUGAGAGGGUGAUCGGCCACACUGGGACUGAGACACGGCCCAGACUCCUACGGGAGGCAGCAGUAGGGAAUCUUCGGCAAUGGGGGCAACCCUGACCGAGCAACGCCGCGUGAGUGAAGAAGGUUUUCGGAUCGUAAAGCUCUGUUGUAAGUCAAGAACGGGUGUGAGAGUGGAAAGUUCACACUGUGACGGUAGCUUACCAGAAAGGGACGGCUAACUACGU